GUCGGAAUCGCUAGUAAUCGUGGAUCAGAAUGCCACGGUGAAUACGUUCCCGGGCCUUGUACACACCGCCCGUCACACCAUGGGAGUGGGCUGCAAAAGAAGUAGGUAGUUUAACCUUCGGGGGGACGCUUACCACUUUGUGGUUCAUGACUGGGGUGAAGUCGUAACAAGGUAGCGCUAGGGGAACCUGGCGCUGGAUCACCUCCUUAUACGAUGAU
RNAcentral lists this ribosomal RNA (218 nucleotides) under Vibrio alginolyticus. RNAcentral describes it as "partial 16S ribosomal RNA". It matches the Rfam family "Bacterial small subunit ribosomal RNA", at positions 1325 to 1533 of the family's 1533-position model. The record is from RNAcentral. RNAcentral also lists the same sequence under 1 other name. Lineage: Bacteria; Pseudomonadati; Pseudomonadota; Gammaproteobacteria; Vibrionales; Vibrionaceae.